GGAGAAGUAGGUUAAGGUUAGGAGAAGUAGGUUAAGGUUAGGAGAAGUAGUUUAAGGUUAGGAGAAGUAGGUUAAGGUUAGGAGAAGUAGGUUAAGGUUAGGAGAAGUAGGUUAAGGUUAGGAGAAGUAGUUUAAGGUUAGGAGAAGUAGG
This is a long non-coding RNA of Oncorhynchus keta (chum salmon), 151 nucleotides long. RefSeq lists it as uncharacterized. The transcript has 3 exons. Lineage: Eukaryota; Metazoa; Chordata; Actinopteri; Salmoniformes; Salmonidae. The record is from RefSeq and is a predicted model, not a curated record.